This 492-nucleotide ribosomal RNA is filed under the name uncultured bacterium. RNAcentral describes it as "partial 16S ribosomal RNA". It matches the Rfam family "Bacterial small subunit ribosomal RNA", at positions 29 to 507 of the family's 1533-position model. The record is from RNAcentral.
AGUGAACGCUGGCGGUAGGCCUAACACAUGCAAGUCGAACGGCAGCACAGUAAGAGCUUGCUCUUACGGGUGGCGAGUGGCGGACGGGUGAGGAAUACAUCGGAAUCUACUUUUUCGUGGGGGAUAACGUAGGGAAACUUACGCUAAUACCGCAUACGACCUACGGGUGAAAGCAGGGGAUCUUCGGACCUUGCGCGAUUGAAUGAGCCGAUGUCGGAUUGGCUAGUUGGCGGGGUAAAGGCCCACCAAGGCGACGAUCCGUAGCUGGUCUGAGAGGAUGAUCAGCCACACUGGAACUGAGCCACGGUCCAGACUCCUACGGGAGGCAGCAGUGGGGAAUAUUGGACAGUGGGCGCAAGCCUGAUCCAGCCAUACCGCGUGGGUGAAGAAGGCCUUCGGGUUGUAAAGCCCUUUUGUUGGGAAAGAAAAGCAGCAGGUUAAUACCCCGCUGUUCUGACGGUACCCAAAGAAUAAGCACCGGCUAACUUCGUG